RNAcentral lists this ribosomal RNA (253 nucleotides) under uncultured bacterium. RNAcentral's name for it is "partial 16S ribosomal RNA". It matches the Rfam family "Bacterial small subunit ribosomal RNA", at positions 524 to 776 of the family's 1533-position model. The record is from RNAcentral.
GACGAGCCGUGCGAACGUUGUUCGGAAUCACUGGGCUUAAAGGGCGCGUAGGCGGCCUGUUAAGUCGAACGUGAAAUCCCCGGGCUCAACCCGGGAACUGCGUCCGAUACUGGCAGGCUUGAAUCCGGGAGAGGGAUGCGGAAUUCCAGGUGUAGCGGUGAAAUGCGUAGAUAUCUGGAGGAACACCGGUGGCGAAGGCGGCAUCCUGGACCGGCAUUGACGCUGAGGCGCGAAAGCCAGGGGAGCAAACGGG